This 965-nucleotide non-coding RNA is filed under the name Eonycteris spelaea (lesser dawn bat). RNAcentral's name for it is "12S ribosomal RNA". It matches the Rfam family "Bacterial small subunit ribosomal RNA". Lineage: Eukaryota; Metazoa; Chordata; Mammalia; Chiroptera; Pteropodidae. The record is from RNAcentral.
CAAAGGUUUGGUCCCAGCCUUUCUAUUAGCCCUUAGUAAGAUUACACAUGCAAGUAUCCGCACUCCGGUGAAAAUGCCCUUCAAGUCACUGCAGACCUAAAGGAGCGGGUAUCAAGCACACUAUACAGUAGCUCACGACGCCUUGCCUAGCCACACCCCCACGGGAUACAGCAGUGAUAAAAAUUAAGCCAUGAACGAAAGUUUGACUAAGCUAUACUAACUUUAGGGUUGGUAAAUUUCGUGCCAGCCACCGCGGUCAUACGAUUAACCCAAGUUAAUAGACAUACGGCGUAAAGCGUGUUAAGGAACUUCACCCAUUAAUAAAGCUAAAUCUAGGCUAUGCCGUAGAAAGCUCUAGCUUAGACAAAAAUAAUCUACGAAAGUGACUUUAAAUUAAUCCGAUACACGAUAGCUAAGACACAAACUGGGAUUAGAUACCCCACUAUGCUUAGCCCUAAACCAAAAUAGUUAUCAUAACAAUACUAUUCGCCAGAGCACUACUAGCAACAGCUUAAAACUCAAAGGACUUGGCGGUGCUUUAUAUCCCUCUAGAGGAGCCUGUUCUGUAAUCGAUAAACCCCGAUAAACCUCACCAACCCUUGCCAAUACAGCCUAUAUACCGCCAUCUUCAGCAAACCCUAAAAAGGAAGCACAGUAAGCAAAAACAUGGAGCAUAAAAACGUUAGGUCAAGGUGUAGCCUAUGGGUUGGAAAGAAAUGGGCUACAUUUUCUAACAUAGAAUAUCAACGAAAAUUUUCGUGAAACCGAAAAUGGAAGGAGGAUUUAGUAGUAAAUUAAGAAUAGAGAGCUUAAUUGAAUAAGGCCAUGAAGCACGCACACACCGCCCGUCACCCUCCUCAAGUACCAAAGUAUGACCAACCAACCUUAUUAAUGAACAUACACACAUACAAGAGGAGAUAAGUCGUAACAAGGUAAGCGUACCGGAAGGUGCGCUUGGACAAACC